UUUCAUAUAAUAUAAUAAGUAUAAUUGAUUUCCAAUCGAAAAGUCUAUUCAUUAGUAUAAAUA
RNAcentral lists this transfer RNA (63 nucleotides) under Colochela zhongi. RNAcentral describes it as "tRNA-Gly". Lineage: Eukaryota; Metazoa; Arthropoda; Insecta; Hymenoptera; Tenthredinidae. The record is from RNAcentral.